Lolium perenne is the source of this 2992-nucleotide long non-coding RNA. RefSeq lists it as uncharacterized. Lineage: Eukaryota; Viridiplantae; Streptophyta; Magnoliopsida; Poales; Poaceae. The record is from RefSeq and is a predicted model, not a curated record.
GUAGUUGUUUCUUGGCUUUUCUUUUUCAUCUUUCUGGUUUCGGCCGUCAAAUCUUCUUUUCUUUCUUCGUCUUCGUUUUGUCUAUAAUGGUGAGGGGAUCGGGAUGUGGGUCUGUGCGUCCGCCUGUACGUGCCGGUGGUGGCGUUCCUGCUCAUGGAGGAGUCGUUGGUGGAAGACCAGGUGCUAGCGGUCAGCGUCGCGGUGCUGGGGGUUCCGGCCGUGGGCGGUCCCGUGGUCCGCUUUCCGCUCGGGGCGGUGGUGUUGGUAGGCGACGCCACCCAUGGCGUUCUCAGUCUCCGUAUUUUGAUGGCGCUGCAAGUGGUGAUGGCGGCCAAUCUGGGCAAGCCGGCGCCGGCGACCAUGUGGAGUUACCCCCGGGGAGCUCUUCCGGGAUGGCAGCCGUGCCGUCGCAGCCGCCGUGAAGGCACUUCAACUUCCCCGACGAGGGUCCACAUCGGGGAGACGGAAUCGAUCUCAUGAGCUGGCCCGCCGUGUGGCGGUGUGGACGCUCGACGAGCCUCCCGAUGGCAACGAGCUAGCUGGGCCACUUUAGCACCAGCCACAAGAUGGAGAAGGCCAGCAACCGGUGGAGAAUUUGGUGCGCUGCGACAUACGGGACGAGUACAGGACGGCAACAUCAACCACGCGAUCGACGGCGGCACCAGCGGCUGUGCGUGCCUAGGUAGGCCUGCCCAGACCACCCCCUCCUCCAUCCCCGCAACCCUAAGCCUAAGAACGCAAGGAGCUGCACACACAGCUAGCGAUUAUGAUGGUGGUUGUGUUACACGUCUGACGUGAAAUAGCACGAGGCAGACCGCGGUGACUGGGACCGCCAUCAUCCCUUUCAAAGAAAUGAAAGAAGAGAGCACUGUGGCGUUCCGACGAUCAUGGCUUCGCCACCCAUCCCGGCUUUCUGUCGGUGGAUCGUCCAACGAGGCUUGCCGCUGCUCUUUCUUACCUUCUGGCUAGAUGAUUUCCUUCCAUAUGCUACCAUCAUAUUCUGUGUUCCAUCCCCAUCAUGGAAUUGAUCCAGCAAAAAGAUAUGAUCCAAUCUAGCAUGUCCAACUCUCCUAGUGGUAUUCCUCUCAAACCCUCUAAUGUCAGUUUCCAAGUCCUAACCAAUCCAGCAUGUAAAUUAUACUAUAUGGUUUUACCCCCACGAUGGUUGACUUAGCAGAGGAGAAAAAUGUAUGGGCUCUUUGAAGCAAAUUGGGUGGUCAUCGACACUUCCCAACUUCCUACGCCGCCCAUUCAACAGGCAAGAAAUUCUAUAUCCUUGAAUUCUUUGCUCUAGAUAAAAUUACUCAUAUAAAUAUACAAUUUAUGUCAAAUGCAAACUCCAGAUUUUCUAUGUUACUUCUGCACUUUUAUCAAUCUAGAUUUAUUGCGCUUGCAUUGGAUGUGUAGGUAAAUUAGGGUAGGCUGAUCUUAAAUUCUUCCAUCAAAUUUAUUACGUCAACAGCAAAAAGUCCAGAUGCACAAUGUAGGCAAACAUGGACAACUGGUAUGGACUGUUUGAUAAAAGUUACUAAAUGGUAUGAUCCUCAUUUUCCAUAUUUACAUAUAGACUGGAUGAUAACAGAUAACAGUUACUUCAUGAUAUGAUAUUCUUUGCCCGUAUUUUACGUACUCAUUUAAUUUUGUAUGAGCUCCUAUAGAAAAGUGACUGAGAUCUGGUGGUCUUCACUGUAGAUUUUCAUUCUUAGAGAGCAUUGGACAUGUCCGAGUAGAUUAGACUUUCAUGGGUUAUUGGGAACCUAAUAGAGCCUUUUGUAUAUGUUCCAGUUAUGCUCUUAAGGACCAUGCCCAUGAAUUAACAGAAAAUGAGUAUGGAGUAUUCCCUAUUUAUUAUUGCGUGAAGCACUACAAGUAGUUUGCUAUUAUGGGGGAAAAUCAGUUAUGAGCUAGGUAAACAAAAACCAUUCUAUUGCAAGCGAAACAGCAAACAACCAUAUUGUACAUCAUCUCUAGCACAAUAUUUAGUGGAACACUCGGAUUAGAUGGGCUACCUUAGGCUUAAUAAAGAGCACAUCUUUUGCCUGCUAUCAUUGAUUAGAAAUAGUAAUCCCCUGCUCCUAAUUAAUAUACAAAAUAGUUGGAUCCUCACAGGAUUUCUUCACGUGUAUGGGUGUAAUUAUUCUUACCGUGAAUCCAAUUCACGACCUUCGAUUAUUCGUCCACAUAUUAGAUGAUAAAUGAGUAACAUAUUAUACAUGUCAACAAAUCUAUAUUCUAGAGCCGCCGCCGGCAGGACUACGAUAGCAACCUUCACCGCAAGCCCUCGAUCUCUGGAAUGGCGCCACGGCACUCCUGACCCGCCGCUCCCAGUGUGCUCGCACGCUACUCGCAUAAUAUAGUGUACGGAGAAGUGCUCGGUCAUGUCUAGGCGUUUCAUUUAAUAUGUGCUUAUUUUCUUACAUUCUUGCUUUCUCUGUGUACAUAUUUCGUCUGUCUAACCUGACUAAUAUUCCCAUUCAUUGUCCUUCGUUUUCCAGAGAUUACUUUAUGAUGAAGCUGUGAGAUUUUCUGUCCUUUUUGUGCUGAAGUACUUACUGGCUCGCUUGCUGAGAGCAAAUAUAUUCUACUAUUCACUGAAAGAGCCACGCUUUCAGUCCAUUUCUAUGUCCAACUCUUUCGUGUCUACAAAGUUUAGCUGGCUCCAUGUGGGGUAUUGCAUUGCUCUACUUCUGUCUGCAUACUUGCCAGCUAAUGCGCUGUGUGCGUUAUCUUGGUACCUAAAAUGUAAGGGAGCUUAAUAUGAGACUCAAAAAAUCUGGAGCUCAUAGUGAUAGUUUCUUGGUUCUCAAGCUAUCUACGGAGGCUAAAGUCAGCUAAUGAACAUAGUUUACAUAGAAAAGACAUAUCAGCAGUACUUAGUUUAGGCAACGUCCUGACGGCAGGCAGACGACUGCCUUCCCUGACUGUCUCCUCUGUAUUGUGUAAUUCAGAGUAUCUGCAAUGCUCGAAUGUGUCAAGAGUUGUCUUUUCCCCC